RNAcentral lists this unclassified non-coding RNA (343 nucleotides) under soil metagenome. RNAcentral's name for it is "partial contains 5.8S ribosomal RNA, internal transcribed spacer 2, and large subunit ribosomal RNA". The stretch from base 1 to 120 matches the Rfam family "5.8S ribosomal RNA", at positions 35 to 154 of the family's 154-position model. The record is from RNAcentral.
GAUGAAGAACGUAGCGAAAUGCGAUAAGUAAUGUGAAUUGCAGAAUCCAGUGAAUCAUCGAAUCUUUGAACGCACAUUGCGCCCGCCAGCAUUCUGGCGGGCAUGCCUGUUCGAGCGUCAUUUCAACCCUCGACCUCCCUUUGGGGAAGUCGGCGUUGGGGACCGGCAGCACACCGCCGGCCCUGAAAUGGAGUGGCGGCCCGUCCGCGGCGACCUCUGCGUAGUAAACCAACUCGCACCGGAACCCCGCCGUGGCCACGCCGUAAAACACCCAACUUCUGAACGUUGACCUCGAAUCAGGUAGGACUACCCGCUGAACUUAAGCAUAUCAAUAAGCGGAGGA